Molecule: long non-coding RNA, 1025 nt
Organism: Bufo bufo (common toad)
Lineage: Eukaryota; Metazoa; Chordata; Amphibia; Anura; Bufonidae
Exons: 4
Source: RefSeq, a predicted model, not a curated record
UAGAUGUUGGGGAAAAUAAGAGUUGGCCAUGUUGGAUUUCAGCAGGUCAGGUUCUUUGUUCCUACAGAAGAUAAACUGCUGCCAGGCAGGUUUGGCAACAGUUUAUUCCCCUCUCCUCAUGGAAAACACAUACACCCUCAGUCAGCGUGUGACUUUACAUGGGAUAGACAGGAGGGAUAGAUAGCUGUCAGCCAAACUAAGGAAAGUGUAGGGGCAGCUUAUGACGCUAUCUUUAUCUAGGUUUCUGUCGAUUCAGGAUCUUGCUGAGUGAGAAAUUAGAUGCAUCGUUUCUGUUUUCUCUCAUUCAAUGUCAGGUGUAGCGUCCCUGUAAGUAAUGCUAGUGUUGCAUGGAAACAAUCGGAGUGACAGAAUUAUUCACGGUCAUUGGAAUUUUGGAUAGUUUGCAGUAUAAAUAAGGGCAUUUAUGACAUUUUCCCCUUCAAUAAAUAUUUUAUGACAUUUCCUUGACAUCAAAUUUAAAAAACAGCUAGUUUGAUGUUACACUUCUUCUAAAUUUGCUGGAGAUGAACCAUUUAAACAUCAUCGUAUGAUACUGUAAUGUGACUGUUAAUCCUAGAGAUUAUGAGGACUAAAGGGGUUGUCCAAGUUAUUUUUAUUGAUGACCUAUCCUCAGGAUAGGUCAUCAAUAUCAGAUGGGCAGGGAUCUGACCCCCAGCACCCCCGUCAAUAAGCUGGUUGAAGAGAAGGCGCACUCUGUGCCAGCGCUGCCUCCUCUUCAUUAUUUACCUGCUCAAAGUCGCAACCCAACUCAGCAGCCGUGAGCACGUGUAGUGUAAUUACACCUAAGCUGUUGCGACGGUGAGCAGGCAAACAAUGAAGAGGAGGCAGCGCUGAUACGGUGUGCACCUUCUCUUUAACCAGCUGAUCAGCGAGGGUCCCAGGUGUUGGACCCCAUACAAUCUGAUAUUGAUGACAUAAAAAUAACUUGAACGACCCAUUUAAAGCAUUUAUUGUAUCUAGUGCUAAGAAAACCAGUAGAAACAUAGAAACAUGGAGACAUAGAA